AUACGUAGGGAGCAAGCGUUGUCCGGAAUUACUGGGCGUAAAGGGCGUGUAGGCGGCCGAUCAAGUCAGGUGUGAAAUUUCAGGGCUCAACCCUGAGCGUGCACUUGAAACUGGUUGGCUUGAGUGCAGAAGAGGAAAGUGGAAUUCCCAGUGUAGCGGUGAAAUGCGUAGAUAUUGGGAGGAACACCAGUGGCGAAGGCGACUUUCUGGUCUGUAACUGACGCUGAGGCGCGAAAGCUAGGGGAGCGAACAGGAUUAGAUACCCUGGUAGUCCUAGCCGUAAACGAUGGGUACUAGGUGUAGGGGGUUUAGACGCCCUCUGUGCCGCAGUUAACACAUUAAGUACCCCGCCUGGGGAGUACGGCCGCAAGGCUGAAACUCAAAUGAAUUGACGGGG
RNAcentral lists this ribosomal RNA (397 nucleotides) under uncultured bacterium. Its description in RNAcentral is "partial 16S ribosomal RNA". It matches the Rfam family "Bacterial small subunit ribosomal RNA", at positions 523 to 918 of the family's 1533-position model. The record is from RNAcentral.